Molecule: ribosomal RNA, 394 nt
Filed under: Pelagophyceae sp.
Lineage: Eukaryota; Pelagophyceae
Description: partial small subunit ribosomal RNA
Rfam family: Eukaryotic small subunit ribosomal RNA
Source: RNAcentral
AUUCCAGCUCCAAUAGCGUAUAUUAAUGUUGUUGCAGUUAAAAAGCUCGUAGUUGGAUUCCUGGCCUGGGGUAGCCGGUCCGCCUUGCAAAAGGUGCGCACUGAGCGGCCUCGGCCAUCCUUGGGAAGAGCAGUCCUGGCAUUCAGUUGUCGGGGUUGGGAUUCCCGACGUUUACUGUGAAAAAAUCAGAGUGUUCAACGCAGGCUUACGCCUUGAAUACAUUAGCAUGGAAUAAUGAGAUAGGACCUUGGCGGUCUAUUUUGUUGGUUUGCACGCCGAGGUAAUGAUUAAAAGGGACGGUUGGGGUUCUUCGUAUUCAAUUGUCAGAGGUGAAAUUCUUGGAUUCAUGGAAGACGAACUGCUGCGAAAGCGUCGAACAAGGACGUUCUCAUCA